RNAcentral lists this small RNA (784 nucleotides) under Pan troglodytes (chimpanzee). RNAcentral's name for it is "retained intron". Lineage: Eukaryota; Metazoa; Chordata; Mammalia; Primates; Hominidae. The record is from RNAcentral.
CAGGGUUGGGGCGAGUGGACCGCGCCUCUAAAGGCGCUUGCCAGUGCAAUCUGGGCGAUCGCUUCCUGGUCCUCGCCUCCUCCGCUGUCUCCCUGGAGUUCUUGCAAGUCGGCCAGGAUGUCUCAGGCUGAGUUUGAGAAAGCUGCAGAGGAGGUUAGGCACCUUAAGACCAAGCCAUCGGAUGAGGAGAUGCUGUUCAUCUAUGGCCACUACAAACAAGCAACUGUGGGCGACAUAAAUACAGGUAUGCAGAGCGGGGGUUGGAAGGGCCUCUGCUCAUCAAAGCAGGCUCAGCAGCCCAGACUGGAAGUCCCUGGGAACUUCACUCUCAAACUGCCUGAGGCCCUACUCUUCAGGUGGGGUAUGGUGAUGGUUCCUGGGGUGGAAAAGACCAUGUUCCGGAUUCUCAGUGUCUCCAGUAGUAGCAGAAUUCAAAUCCUGGUUUUAGAAGGUCUUUACUGGUUAUCACCAGCAGCUACUCUCUACUAGGGAAGAAGCAAAGGCUGCAGCUUGGAAAAGACUUGCUGAAGGCUCUCAGCUCAGUAGUAUCAUUGUUGAGCCGUUCAGCUUCUGCCCUAGAUGGGCAGGAUCAAAGUUGGAGCACUUUUUGGAGCACUUGACAGCCUGGCCAAGCCUGAUGUCAGGAGCAGAGAAGCACCUGGUUUCUUGGGCUAGGUCAGAGCAUUUCGCUAACAAGUCUGUGCCUUCCUGAUGACAACUUUUUCCCUGCCCAGAAAUCUUGGUGCAGAUUUUGAGGCUGUGCUUUUGACUGUCAUACUCUGUA